AACGAACGCUGGCGGCAGGCCUAACACAUGCAAGUCGAACGCCCCGCAAGGGGAGUGGCAGACGGGUGAGUAACGCGUGGGAACGUACCCUUCGGUUCGGAAUAACCCGGGGAAACUCGGGCUAAUACCGGAUACGUCCGCAAGGAGAAAGAUUUAUCGCCGAAGGAUCGGCCCGCGUCGGAUUAGCUAGUUGGUGAGGUAACGGCCCACCAAGGCGACGAUCCGUAGCUGGUCUGAGAGGAUGAUCAGCCACACUGGGACUGAGACACGGCCCCAGACUCCUACGGGAGGCAGCAGUGGGGAAUAUUGGACAAUGGGCGAAAGCCUGAUCCAGCCAUGCCGCGUGAGUGAAGAAGGGCCUUAGGGUUGUAAAGCUCUUUUCAGCGGGGAAGAUAAUGACGGUACCCGCAGAAGAAGUCCCGGCUAACUUCGU
Molecule: ribosomal RNA, 433 nt
Filed under: uncultured bacterium
Lineage: Bacteria
Description: bacterial SSU rRNA
Rfam family: Bacterial small subunit ribosomal RNA
Source: RNAcentral